UAUUAUUAAGUAUCACCUGCUCAAUGAAAUUUAAAUAGCCGCAGAAAUUUAACUGUGCUAAGGUAGCAUAAUCAUUAGCUCUUUAAUUAAGGGCUUGUAUGAAAGGUGUCACAUUUUACAUUCUGUAAAUAUUUUAUUUAAUUUAAUUUAAACUAAGAAUAAAAAUGUUCUUAUUUUAUAAAUAGACGAUAAGACCCUAUUGAACUUUACUUUAGUUUAACUGGGGCAGUUAAAUAAUCAACAUUUUAUUAAUUAUUUUAUUAUAUAAAAACCCAAUCACUUUGAUUUUGAAAAAGUUACCAUAGGGAUAACAGCGUAAUUUAUUUUUCAAGCUCUUAUUUAAAAAUAAGAUUGCGACCUCGAUGUUGAAUUAAUGUUCCUCUUUACAAAGCAACAAUUUAUAGAGUAGGUCUGUUCGACCUUUAAAACAUUACA
This 435-nucleotide ribosomal RNA is filed under the name Thelacantha brevispina. RNAcentral describes it as "partial 16S ribosomal RNA". It matches the Rfam family "Bacterial large subunit ribosomal RNA", at positions 1844 to 2600 of the family's 2925-position model. The record is from RNAcentral. Lineage: Eukaryota; Metazoa; Arthropoda; Arachnida; Araneae; Araneidae.